This 255-nucleotide ribosomal RNA is filed under the name uncultured bacterium. RNAcentral's name for it is "partial 16S ribosomal RNA". It matches the Rfam family "Bacterial small subunit ribosomal RNA", at positions 15 to 279 of the family's 1533-position model. The record is from RNAcentral.
GAUCCUGGCUCAGAACGAACGCUGGCGGCAGGCUUAACACAUGCAAGUUGAACGGGAUUUGUGUGGUGCUUGCACCAUAUAAUGAGAGUAGCGCACUGGUGAGUAACACGUGGGAACGUGCCUUUUAGUGGGGGGAUAACAUCUGGAAACGGAUGCUAAUACCGCAUACGCCCUGAGGGGGAAAGAUUUAUUGCUAAGAGGUCGGCCCGCGGUAGAUUAGGCAGUUGGUGGGGUAAAGGCCUACCAAACCUACGA